RNAcentral lists this microRNA precursor (125 nucleotides) under Daucus carota subsp. sativus. Its description in RNAcentral is "sRNA DCAR_mi00192". Lineage: Eukaryota; Viridiplantae; Streptophyta; Magnoliopsida; Apiales; Apiaceae. The record is from RNAcentral.
UAAUAUAUUGGUCGAUGCACACUGCAAAGAAGGGAGGACAAUAGAUGCAGAAAAUGUGAUUAAAAUUAUGAUCCAGAAAGGUGUGCCUCCUGAUUCAAUCACAUACAAUUCACUGAUGGAUGGAU